RNAcentral lists this transfer RNA (83 nucleotides) under Streptomyces subrutilus. Its description in RNAcentral is "tRNA-Pro". The record is from RNAcentral. Lineage: Bacteria; Bacillati; Actinomycetota; Actinomycetes; Kitasatosporales; Streptomycetaceae.
CCGUCGCCGCGGCCCCGCGGGCCACCGCCGCCUCGGGGGCGGCGGACACCGGUUCCGUCUCCGGCUCCUCCGGAGCGACGGCC